CCCUUAGAUGUUCUGGGCCUCACGCGCGCUACACUGAUGCAUUCAACGAGUUUCUUCCUGGUCCGAGAGGAAUGGGUAACCUUUUGAAAGUGCAUCGUGAUAGGGAUAGACUAUUGCAAUUAUUGGUCUUCAACGAGGAAUUCCUAGUAGACGUAGUUCAUCAGACUGCAUCGAUUACGUCCCUGCCCUUUGUACACACCGCCCGUCGCUCCUACCGAUUGAAUGCUCAGGUGAGCCAUUCGGACUUUCAUCAUGCUGGUUUCCAGUUUUGAUGAAGGAAAGUCUUGCGAACCUUAUCAUUUAGAGGAAGGAGAAGUCGUAACA
RNAcentral lists this ribosomal RNA (324 nucleotides) under uncultured eukaryote. Its description in RNAcentral is "partial 18S ribosomal RNA". It matches the Rfam family "Eukaryotic small subunit ribosomal RNA", at positions 1470 to 1796 of the family's 1831-position model. The record is from RNAcentral.